GGGGCUGAAGCAGCAAGCGCUGCUCCCACCGAUAAACGGCUCUGCCAAGCAGGAACUCUGCUUGUUGCCCCAGCAGGAGGGGACUGGCUGCUCUGCUCCGGCCAGCUCGGCUGAGAUGCCAGCGGGGACACAGAGCCCAGCACACAGCAAAGGCUCCAGGCAGUUGGCCCCGGCACCACUCAGGCUUCUCCCUGAGCUGCCGAGAAGAGCUUGGCAGGGAAUGAAGCAGGGGUCUGGAUGCUCCUGUACUGCAAAUAACCACCGAGCCAGCUCCUCUGGGCAGGCCCAGGAAGGGUGCAGGCAGCUCCACCAACCCUCUGGAAGGCAGGCAGCCUCCCCAGGAGGAGACCCUCUAGUGUGCCCUUUGGAACCCAGCGAGAGUUGAAUCACAGGUGAAAGAUAUCAAGGGACUUCAGUUUCAAAGGACUUGGCCCUUGAUUUACCAAACUCCUUCUCACACCUCUCUGCAGGGCAGAAAGGAAAAGGAAAAGGCUCCCGAGGUUCCCCAAGCCCGGGGCACAGCAGUGUGAGCACACAUGGCCUGGGGAGGGCCACCCCGCGCUGGUUUAAAACAAGGCAGUGCCUUCAAAGCCAGCCACUCAGCCAAAUGUGACAAUCAGCAUGAAAUUAGGGAAUAGAGGCCCACCCAGCAGCUGCAUUCCAUGCUGGGUUUAUCCAAACCAUCCUCUAGGAAAAGCUAAAGAUAGCCCUGUGCAGGCCAGGGGCACAAGUUGGGUUUUGACCUCACAUCCGCUGGCUGCUGCU
Molecule: long non-coding RNA, 765 nt
Organism: Vidua macroura (Pin-tailed whydah)
Lineage: Eukaryota; Metazoa; Chordata; Aves; Passeriformes; Viduidae
Exons: 3
Source: RefSeq, a predicted model, not a curated record